Molecule: long non-coding RNA, 1477 nt
Organism: Acanthopagrus latus (yellowfin seabream)
Lineage: Eukaryota; Metazoa; Chordata; Actinopteri; Spariformes; Sparidae
Exons: 4
Source: RefSeq, a predicted model, not a curated record
AGCCCAAACUGUAAACAAUGGCGGAGAACAGACGACAACAGAGCAGAAAAAUGCCCCACCAUUGCCAACUUCAAAGAGAAGAAGUAAAAAGACUGACAUAGAAAAGCAGUGUAAAAACAAAGAACAAGGAUAAAUAUCGGAGCUUCAUUUCAGAGGUGUUCGUCUGGGAAACGCUCGCCCCGUGGCCUCAGCUGUGGAGAAUAUGUGGUGCACUGAGGUGGAUGCCUUCUGGGACCAUGGUGGAGAAUCUCACCCCGAGACCAGAAAAUAACAUGUCUGACACAGCACCUGGGCUUUGAAGCAAGUUGUCGGAAUCCCUUUGUACCAAGUGAACUUCAGGAAGGAGCACAACCCUCUGCAGGCCGACAGAUAGGGAGCACAGGGGACACUGUUAACCUGUCCACUCAGUCCUUUACAACUCGCUGUUCUCCAACACAGAACAUCUCAGGAGGGAGACAAUAAACGCAGAAUCAAUUCUGACAACAGCACAGUCUUCUCCCCUGAAGAAGAGAAGAGAGCACAACAGGGGUUUUUGCAGAGGUGCAGCCUCGGACUGUGGGACCUUCGAAGCAAAUGACUGAAAGCACGUUGCUGGUGACUGAUUAUUGCAAACGAUAAUUGCAGACGCUUUUAUCCAAAGCUACUUGGUAAUCCAUACAUACAUUCAGACACUGAAUGGCUGGUGGCUGCCAUGCAAGGAGAUGACCGGCACAUCAGGAGCAGUUUGGGGUUCAGUGUCUUGCCCAAGGACACUUCAACGUGCAGACCAGGGGAAUCAAACCAGGGACCUUUCAAUAACAAGAUGCUGGCUCUACCCCUGAGCCACAGCUGCUGUAAUGUACCACUUAUGUUUCCAUCAUGGCAAUGAGGAGAUUACCUGGUGUUGCUUCACGGUGUCAUAUACCUUCUAACAACUAAUAAUCACAAAAUGGGUUGCAGGCAUCAUAUCCUCAGUGUUUGUAUUUACUCAGUAAUCAAUAUCAAUAUAGGCAAUUUUCCUAUAUUUUACUUUUUUGUUGACAUAAUUGUUUUCCUUCUGUUUGGCUACAAAUAAUUCAAGUCCCUGCUUUAUGUAAUCUCCAGAUGCAUGAACGUUCUCUAUUUUAAAAGAUGAAUACACGAGUCGAAAAAACUGGCACACCUCAUAUGAAAAAGUUGCAAACACCAUUAUCAAAGCGAACGAUCUCUCUUUUUUUUUUUCCUCAUAAGAAUCAUUAAAGAAGAAUACGCUUUAGGCCUAGAUGUACUUUUCAGUUUUUGCAUAAUGAGGUCAAAAACAAAAACAAACACAUAUAUCUGCAGUGGUAGGCAAUACUUUCUUUAAAAAUGCCUUCCGUUUUCAAUUAAUGUCAGUGCAGACGCCGGUUUGCAAUUCAUUUCUCCCCCACACGCUCUCAGGUCCUUGCAGCAGAGGGCAAAUGAGUCCUCCUCCUUCACUUAGGUUUUCGUCUUCUCUCAAUAAAGUACAAAAUACGGA